This 460-nucleotide ribosomal RNA is filed under the name uncultured bacterium. RNAcentral describes it as "partial 16S ribosomal RNA". It matches the Rfam family "Bacterial small subunit ribosomal RNA", at positions 338 to 795 of the family's 1533-position model. The record is from RNAcentral.
CCUACGGGUGGCAGCAGUGAGGAAUAUUGGUCAAUGGACGAGAGUCUGAACCAGCCAAGUAGCGUGCGGGAUGACUGCCCUAUGGGUUGUAAACUUCUUUUAUAUGGGAAUAAAAUCUUCCACGUGUGGGAUUUUGUAUGUACCGUAUGAAUAAGGAUCGGCUAAUUCCGUGCCAGCAGCCGCGGUAAUACGGAGGAUCCGAGCGUUAUCCGGAUUUAUUGGGUUUAAAGGGAGCGUAGGUGGAUUGUUAAGUCAGAUGUUAAAGUUUGCGGCUCAACCGUAAAAUGGCAGUUGAAACUGGCAGUCUUGAGUACAGUAGAGGUAGGCGGAAUUCGUGGUGUAGCGGUGAUAUGCUUAGAUAUCACGAAGAACGCCGAUUGCGAAGGCAGUUCACCGGACUGCAACUGACACUGAGGCUCGAAAGUGUGGGUAUCAAACAGGAUUAGAUACCCCGGUAGUC